This 253-nucleotide ribosomal RNA is filed under the name uncultured bacterium. RNAcentral describes it as "partial 16S ribosomal RNA". It matches the Rfam family "Bacterial small subunit ribosomal RNA", at positions 524 to 776 of the family's 1533-position model. The record is from RNAcentral.
UACGAAGGGGGCUAGCGUUGUUCGGAUUUACUGGGCGUAAAGCGCACGUAGGCGGAUCGUUAAGUCGGGGGUGAAAUCCUGGAGCUCAACUCCAGAACUGCCUUUGAUACUGGCUAUCUUGAGUACGGAAGAGGUAUGUGGAACUCCGAGUGUAGAGGUGAAAUUCGUAGAUAUUCGGAAGAACACCAGUGGCGAAGGCGACAUACUGGUCCGUUACUGACGCUGAGGCUCGAAAGCGUGGGGAGCAAACAGG